UUUCCGUAGGUGAGCCUGCGGAAGGAUCAUUACAGAGUUCAUGCCCUCACGGGUAGAUCUCCCACCCUUGAAUAUUUAUACCUUAGUUGCUUUAGCAGGCCGUGGAAACACCAUGGGCUCCGGCUUAUGCGUGCCUGCCAGAGGAAACAAACUCUGUUUUUAGUGAUGUCUGAGUACUAUAUAAUAGUUAAAACUUUCAACAACGGAUCUCUUGGUUCUG
This 220-nucleotide unclassified non-coding RNA is filed under the name plant metagenome. RNAcentral's name for it is "partial contains small subunit ribosomal RNA, internal transcribed spacer 1, and 5.8S ribosomal RNA". The record is from RNAcentral.